GCUGGGUGCGGUGGCACGCACCUGUAGUUCCAGCUACUCAGGAGGCUGAGACAGGAGAAUUGCUUGAACCCAGGAGGAGGAGGUUGCAGUGAGCCAAGAUGGCACCACUGCACUCCACCCUGGGUGACAGAGCAAGACUUUGUCUCAA
Unclassified non-coding RNA from Macaca fascicularis (crab-eating macaque), 148 nucleotides. It matches the Rfam family "Metazoan signal recognition particle RNA". Rfam says of the family: The signal recognition particle (SRP) is a universally conserved ribonucleoprotein. It is involved in the co-translational targeting of proteins to membranes. NCBI's taxonomy places the organism in Eukaryota, Metazoa, Chordata, Mammalia, Primates, Cercopithecidae. The record is from Ensembl.